RNAcentral lists this long non-coding RNA (227 nucleotides) under Ursus maritimus (polar bear). RNAcentral's name for it is "lncRNA (ENSUMAG00000018839.1)". Lineage: Eukaryota; Metazoa; Chordata; Mammalia; Carnivora; Ursidae. The record is from RNAcentral.
CGGAGGCGCGCCCUCUCAGGGUGGUGGGUCAAUGCCUGGUGGCCCGAGCAGGGCACGUGACCAGGGCGCGGAAAUUGUUUCAAAAUCAAGAUUUUAUUGAUGUCUGGACUUUAGAUAUUUCUACAAAGUGAAGAUCAGAGUUGGAUAGUAGAGGUAUUCCCCCCUGCAAAUACCUACCUUUCUGUUAAUGGCCGUAUGACAUCACCACAGACAUUUUACAAUACAGC